Long non-coding RNA from Tympanuchus pallidicinctus (lesser prairie-chicken), 4551 nucleotides. RefSeq lists it as uncharacterized. The transcript has 2 exons. NCBI's taxonomy places the organism in Eukaryota, Metazoa, Chordata, Aves, Galliformes, Phasianidae. The record is from RefSeq and is a predicted model, not a curated record.
CAGUAGAUGCCUCUGCACACUUUGGCGUGCACAGUUAUUUUUAAGUGUAUUCAAAACCUUGGCAAGCCAGAACUGAAACUGCUCUCGUUUGCAGCCCCGACCGAUGCACAGCACGCAGUCACAGCAGCCACGCACAGCUCGGAAGCUGCCUCGUGCUUCUGUUGAGGCAAAGAGGUGUUGUGCUGGGGCCUUGGAAUCUCUAUAACCACAUCAAUAGGAAAAGGCAAACAACACCAAUGCCAAGGACCCGAAUAAACACGGAUUAUCUUGUUCGCUGCAACCACUUACAAACGACAGAGGCAGCCCUGAGUUAUGCAGAAGUCGAGCGCCUUGCCCUGUUUCUAUAACCGGGCCUCCUGUUGAGUUGCCUUCUUCCUACCAGACCUGGACCGCAAUGGAAUCAAGGAGGGACGUCAGCCUCAAGAUAUGCUUGGCAAGCUGACGUGGCCAGAGCUGCUGAAAAAACACCAUGACAGCCAUCUCCCCAUGGUCCCCAGAUAUUUAGAAUCUUCCAGUUCUACUGAGCAGGUAAAAUGAUUCCCUAUUGUGUUUGUGUUGCAGCUAUUCUGCUUCCAUCCCGAAAUGCAGAUGGCUUUUCUCAGAACUUGAAAAUGUUGUUCUCUAAUCAACUGAAUUGAGCUUUGUAUUUUGUGAAGUGGCAGGGGCUAAGUACAGUGUGUCUGUAAUGACACAUCUGUCUUCUAAGAAGCUGUAUAGAACGGAGCCAGAAGACCUUUGGGCUCAUCUGAAAACACUGCAUUCAAAUGAAAACUGAACUAAAAAUAGUAAUUACUGGAAAACAAAGGGAACAACCUGACCCCACAGUUGGCAGACGUAGUACAACAGGAGCAAUAUGCAACUGUAUGCAUAUUUCUAAACCAUACUUGAGAGCAGCUUCUAGGAGCUUCCAAGUAGAGAUGCGUGCAUAGCUCUGACAGGAGAGAGGGCCCAAACAGCCAGCCAGUUUAACAUAUUGCAGCUUAUCCAGCUGCAAAAGCUUGCAAAUGGACAAGACCUGAAUCUUUUCCCCUACGAAGACUUGAACAAACAGCAAAGCUGUAAAUAACCAUGAUGAGGUAAGGCUGGGUCAAUUUAAGAAACAAAAGGCUUUUUUUUUUUCCCUUUGUGUACAAAUUUCUCCUCUGCUUUUCAUGGGGGGAGCGGGGGGAGCAUUCUCUAAUGGUGUUUUACUGAGGGAAAGCAUUCCAACAGUUACCAUAGACAUUUGCACGUGGCUAACUUCUUUUGCCAUAUGUUUGAUAUGAAAUUUGGAAUGGAAGUUUGGACCACAAUUUUAUGGUCGUUUGUAACAGGUUUGAGCACCACUGGAUCAUUUAGCAUGACAAAUUCAAUCCAGAUCAGGCCUGGGCACACAAUUAUUUUUCAGCCAGACUGCAUAAUGUGGCAUUUAUGCUGGCCGUGGGAAGACAGACAAUAUCUAAUCUGGCAUAAAGCCUACCAAUACAGAGCUAAUGUCAGAACUUUCUUAAACAGCUUUCAAUGGGAUCAGCACUUCGGGUUGUGUGGUCAAGCAUUUUAUAUCCAGGAGCCCUAGAGCCAGAUUUCCUGCAUUGUCAACCUGUGACCAUUUUGGCAGCAUUCAGACAUUCUCCAUCAAGCUUUCUCUUGUUAUGCCUCCAUGCAAGCCCUUUGUCCUGUCGGAGAUUCUUGCUGCAGUCCAUAAGAGCACUAUAGGUAUGAAGCAUUUGGGAUCUCUCUAAACACAACAGCCUCUCACUGUUGCUCCCCAGGUCCUGCAGAACUGUGCGUGCAUCUGAUUGCUCUUAAAUCUGCAGAUACAAAUAUCACAGUUGUUCAACUGGACCCACGGAUGCUGCUUGCACAGUUACCCUAUCAUUGCCCAUGCAGCCGUAGGAACUGUCAGCAUUGAUCUCCCAGUCCAUCUUUCUAAUGAUCAUUAGAACAAUGAUUCCUGAAAGGAGCCAUGCUUCUGCACGUCUCCAUAUUCCAGGACUCGGGCUGGAAAAGACUGUGCUUGCUUUCAUUCUCAGAAGGUGCUGUUUCCUGAGAAAACCAAGAGCGCCAGGCUGUCAGUCACUGAGAAACCUUGAAGAAUCUCCUCUCUGUGCUGUUCUACCUCCUGACACUUCACAUCCAGUCACUUUUACCAAAGUAAUCCUCCUAAUUUACAACUGCAGGCUGGAGUUUCUCUUUGGGAGACACUCAUUCUGGAAAAGUUGCUUAUUUUAGAACCCACAGCCUCUAGGAAGAUAUUUUUCCCUAAUCCCAAACUAAAUGAUAUCAUACUUGGCUAGUGCUGUAACCAUGGUACUGAAGUUAUUUAUGACUGAAAUUAAUGCUAUAGUUAGCAACACUGGGGCAGGGUUCCUUCUAUGCUACUGUCCAACUGCCUCCCUCCCCCAGCCUGAGGCUACACUGCAAAGCAAGACACAGAGUCUCCAGAGGGUCUUUAAUUUGCAGUAAACAAUGUCAGCCUUUGCUGAUCCCCAAAACUUGGCAACGCACAACUGGAUGCGCACAAAGAUGCAUCUUCUAAACAAAACAAAGCACUUGGCUGUGUUGUCAUUGCUCUUAACUCUGUUUCGAGAUUUGUUUUUAUUUAUUUUAGCUCUUAAAUUCCUUGAAGGGACCUGGAACUCCAGCGUGCAGAGCCAGGACUGGCAGCAGCAGGGAGAGCUCAGUUGUACGCCACUCAUCAGCUCUGAGCUGAGGGAAUCACCACGAGGGGAAGAGGAGAGGUCAGCAUUUGUGCCUGGGGACACUGUUAGUCACCUCUGAGAAACUGAUAGCCUGCCUGUAUGCAAGCUAUCUGGGAGCCAAACCAAUAUUAUUCCAGUCUGAUCCCUCUGCAAAGAGAUCUCAGAGAAGGUUGGGAGGAAUCCAGCAAAGUGGGAAACAGAAGAAACAAAACCACGCAGUGCCGAGUCCCUCCUGGUCAAAGAUCAGGCAGCUCCCUAUUUCCACAGCACAGAUGAGAGGGAACAGCUCAUAGACACAUCCUGAACUUCAGUCAGACCCAGACACCUCUGUGCCCUUGUGGGGCAUCGCAUCAGCAGCUCCUGCAUGCCUUCCUCUGAUCGUCCCCCAAGUCAGAGAAUCAUAGAACAAGAUUGCAAAACAGACACUGCAAACAGAAAAAUAAAGGAUGAAACAGGGAGGAGAAAAGAAAACAGAAGAGCACAGCAAGAAGAGAAGCAGCAUGGGGAAGUGGUGGUGUGCUGUGCUGGGAAGAGUACAAGGAUAUCAGCCCACCUACUGAUUCAUACAGGGGGCAGUUCAAGUGAAUUUAGACAUCACAGGCAGUAAAGCAGGCAAGCAAGUCUCUGCUGACCACACCACUACCGUGGUUCCAUUGGAUGGAACAUCGAUUUCAUGUCACUUCUGCUACCUGGAUUAACCUUUCAAUGCCUUUCUUUGAAUGCCAGUUGGCACAGCAGUCCAAUUCUGCUCACCCCAGGAGUGAAGAACCAAAUGCCUACCCCACGGUUUGGGGCUUUUGGGAUAGACCGGCCUUAGGCCCAAUCCAAUUUACAGCUGAAGUCUCAAGGGCUUCACUGAAGUAGUCAAAUCAUUCUGGGAAAACGUACUGGGGGGCAAUGCAGUAUUUAUUUUAUGCCUCAGUCUUACUUUAUUUUACAGCCUAAACCUCCAAUUCCCAGAGCCACGAUUCUCCCAUUGCCUUCAUGGAAUUUACAUUGGAGUCACUUAACAGGGCUUUGCUAUGUCUAAAUCAUUGCCUUAUUUUUUGCUCUAUUUUUUUGUUUGUUUGUUUUUAUUUUAUUUUUUCUUCUUUUGACCACAGGCAAAGGAAAUAAAUCAUCUGAUAUCCUGCCAGCAAACUGCCAUCAGCACUCUGAAACUGGAGGCGUUUCUCCUGCCCCAAAAGAGCACUAAAAAAAUAUAUAUCUAGCUGAUAACUUGGACAGGGUUCAGGUAUGUUUGUGUGCAUACCAGCAGUUAAACUGAUUUCUUCCACUAUCUUAUCUGUCCAUUUCAAGAGGAAGAAGUUUGGCAGGCGAGCUACUCUUGGAACGCACUCAGUAAACCAUGGAUAGGAGAACCAAGGAGCAUAAAUAGAAAUAACCAUAGGUGUAGCAGCUGGGAGCCUGACUUCUGGCUUCUAUUCCAGCUCUACCCAUGACUCACUCGAUGACUUUGGAAAGCCACUUCGCCUCUCCCUGCUCCAGCAUUCUCCCAGGCACAGCUCACCCAUUUCACAGGUACCCCAGGCAGAGGAACCCCACUGCUCCCAGCUGGGUAAGCGUCUCUGGAGGAAGAACCUCAUCCCUCUUCCUCUGCCAGCCCCACGCCAUCCAUCCCCACAGCUCAUGGCACCCAGAGGGGAGGUGGCAACUUGAACCGAGUGCAUCUUGUGAAGCUUUUUGGGAUCCGUCAAGGAAAGGGAAAGCACUUGAACAAAAUGUUGCUAAUUAUAGCUUGACAGCACAUAACACAUUCCUGCUCUGGACAGAGCUCUGCUAUCAGCCAACUCAAUUAUACAUUAUCUUUGCCCAACUCCCUCCUUAUUAAUUGUGACCAAAGCACUGAAUAAAGCCAAAUUGCUGCCUG